GAUGAACGCUGGCGGCGUGCUUAACACAUGCAAGUCGAACGAAGCACCUUAAUUGAUUUCUUCGGAAUGAAGUUAUUGUGACUGAGUGGCGGACGGGUGAGUAACGCGUGGGUAACCUGCCUCACACAGGGGGAUAACAGUUGGAAACGGCUGCUAAUACCGCAUAAGCGCACAGUACCGCAUGGUACGGUGUGAAAAAACUCCGGUGGUGUGAGAUGGACCCGCGUCUGAUUAGCUAGUUGGCAGGGCAACGGCCUACCAAGGCGACGAUCAGUAGCCGACCUGAGAGGGUGACCGGCCACAUUGGGACUGAGACACGGGCCCAAAACUCCUACGGAGGCAGCAGUGGGAAUAUGCANAUGGGGAACCUGAUGCAGCGACGCCGCGU
RNAcentral lists this ribosomal RNA (388 nucleotides) under uncultured bacterium. Its description in RNAcentral is "bacterial SSU rRNA". It matches the Rfam family "Bacterial small subunit ribosomal RNA", at positions 28 to 402 of the family's 1533-position model. The record is from RNAcentral.